AGGUAGCAGCAUCAGCAGGGCAUCAGCGGAGGUGGUGGCGCGGCUCCCGCAGAUAACUUGGAGGCCCCCAAAGGAGGCAGGAGCAGCAGAGCAGUGAGGCAAAGAGGAGCUGAAAUAACCUCUUUUACUGGAUCAGCUUGAAGAGGUGGUCAACUAUUUGGAAUGGAGAAGCAGCAUGCAGGGGAAAGGUUCUUAAAAAGCCACCUACCGCCCAGCCAUUUCUCUCUUUAAAACUACAGGCUCUUGAAGCUGAUUUUCCUUAUUAAAAGGAACAGUUGGUGUUUAAAUGCACAUGUAUUUAUGUAACUUCGAGUUAAGCCCCUUCAGUCAAACAGGUUGAAUGCAACAGCCAUUUGAAAAUGGCUGUCUCAAAGACAAGUUAAUUGAAUGUUCAUGGGAAAAUUAUUAUGAGGAAAAUAGCAUAUCACCUCUUCUUAUUUCUCACAGUGGGACCACUCCUUCUUUGGCUUUGGCCUUGGCCUGUUUCUAAAAAGAAAUGUUUACAGCAGGCUCAGAAGUGCUUGUGAAUUAAAAUGACAGACUGAAUAAAACCGACAAUUGUUUGAUUGAACAAUUGGGUUCAUUACAACUGCUUGGAAUUCUCUGUUUGUGCUGCAUAUGUUUGAUGUGCAAAACCAUUGUGUGAUUAGCCCAGACUUUCAGGUCAACCACUUCAAGUGACUGACACCCCAAACCUAGAUAUUAUGACCCCAGUCUAGGGCCUUUUGAUGCCCACAGAGAGCUCCUACUGGAGAAGUCUUCCCCAUUCACUUCACUGGGUGAGAUGUUUUGGUAGGAGUGUGCAUUCAUUUUGAAAUGAAUGAAAGAUUGAACCAAACUGAACUCAUUCCAUUCAUUUUCCAUUUGUUGCAAAAUGAAUUCAGAGAGGUUUCUGAAUUCAUUAGUUCCAUGUGAGACCUCCAUUCACUUCUAGGAUGGGGGGGCUUACCUUAUAUCAUGGCAGAGCAGCCAACUUCUCUCCUUUUUUUUGGUAAUGAUUUAAAAGUGAAAUGGAAUAGCAUAGCUUCUUUUGUGGCAGCUUCUGGUGUCAGCCAUCUCCACCCCCACCCCACACACA
Hemicordylus capensis (graceful crag lizard) is the source of this 1078-nucleotide long non-coding RNA. RefSeq lists it as uncharacterized. The transcript is spliced from 3 exons. NCBI's taxonomy places the organism in Eukaryota, Metazoa, Chordata, Lepidosauria, Squamata, Cordylidae. The record is from RefSeq and is a predicted model, not a curated record.